CUUCCUGGAGGCCACCUGUCAGCACAUCUGGAGCUCAUGUUGCUGCUGCUUCCAACACGGCACCAUUUCCAUCCCCGCUCUGACUUCAAAGACCCAUCAAGGUUGAUGAGCCAAAAACCAUCUCCGGGAAUGAAGGACUUUUUCUCCCAGCUAUCAAAUGUGCUGCCAGUAGACACCCCUCAGCUAUCAGCCCUCUUUGAGGAUAGUUUUGGUUCAAGACAGACGUCUCCCCAAAGAGUUCAAUAGAAAAGAUGGACUUCUCAACCAAUGAAGCUAAAAAAACUGAAUAUUCGUAUGCAAAAGAAGGAGUUUGGAUUCUGACCUAGCACCAUAUAUAAAAAUUAACUCAAAAUAGAUCAAAGACCUAAAUGUAAGAGCUGACAAUGGGGGAUCCCUGGGUGGCUUAGCGGUUUAGUGCCU
Long non-coding RNA from Canis lupus familiaris (dog), 420 nucleotides. RefSeq lists it as uncharacterized. The transcript is spliced from 3 exons. The record is from RefSeq and is a predicted model, not a curated record. Lineage: Eukaryota; Metazoa; Chordata; Mammalia; Carnivora; Canidae.